This 7238-nucleotide long non-coding RNA is filed under the name Manihot esculenta (cassava). Its description in RNAcentral is "long non-coding RNA (MESC_LNC011093)". The record is from RNAcentral. Lineage: Eukaryota; Viridiplantae; Streptophyta; Magnoliopsida; Malpighiales; Euphorbiaceae.
AGGUCGCUCCUAGAUAGUCCAGGUCGCUCCUGGUACUAUGAGUUAGACAGAUAGCCUGUCAGAGCAGAGAUAAGAGAAGUCCAGGUGAUGACCUAGUCUCCUUGGCACAGUGGGACAUGUUAUGAUAUGAGACAGAUAAGAGAAGUCCAGGUGAUGACCUAGUCUCCUUGGCACAGCAGGACAUAUUAUGACAUGUAGUAGAGGGCUAUUGGUGACAAGUUCAUCCGUGAGAUGAUAUGUUUGUGAUGUGAUGCAUUUCAUGAAAACAUGUAAUGAAUGAAUUGUUUUAUUGUUCCUCCUCACUGGGCUAUAGAGCUCAUCCCACUCCCUUAACCCCAGUUUUGCAGGUUCUGAGAUAGCUAUGGGAAAUCAGAGUCAGCAAGAGUAAAGAAAGAUAUGCAUGAAUAUAUGUUUGUAAUAGCGUAGUGGACAUGAUGUAAAUAAAAGAUUAGUUGUAAUGUAAUGUAUAGACAUGUACUGUCAUACUGGAUAGACUUAUGCUUUCCCUAAUGUCUUUGCUUUAGUGUGAUGUAUGAUUAAUCCCUUGUACAUGAAUCUUGUUUUACGUUUCUUGAUGAGAAAUGUGUGUAUCAGGCUUAAUGUAUGGCUUUGAUGAGAUACCAGUGGAUUGUGUUACAGAUUAAAAGGGUUUCAAUCCCUUAACCCACAGCAGAUAGUAGUCACUGGUAUAGGCCCUGAGGGCCAUUUCAGAUUGGCAUAUCUGAGUAGCAGUAGUUAAGCCUGGAGAGUUUGAUAGGAUUGUUGAGUAUUUUUUAUCAUAUAUGAGAUUUAUCAGGUACACAGAGAGUAUAGUCGGCUUGCUACGGGUCCCGGCGGCCUUAAGCCGAUCUGGAUCCUAGAGCCAGUGAUGGUUCGGACCGUUACAGAGGGGUACCAGUUUCCGGGCUGUUACAGAUUGGUAUCAGAGCAUAGGGCCUCAAGAGUACGGUGUGUUGAGUAUUUUUGUUCAAGGACUAGAGAUAUCCCACAUCGGAAAGAGGUGUUGUCUUGUAUAGAAGGGUAAGCACAAUAGGCAAAAUCAUGUCCACUAAGAUAGGAUGUGGAGUCCUGUCUUGCAUGAUGAUGUGAAAUGCCAUGACAAGAUACAUGUGCAUUAGUGAUAUGUGAUAUAUAUGUUGUGGAUUCAUGUGUUCUAACAUGGAUCAUUUGAUGUUUUGUGUGAUGUGCUUUUCAGAAACAGGAUGAGAGGAACUCUCGAUCUGCUAGAUUGACUGGAGCUCCGCCGGAGAAUGAGGACAUGGAUGCCCAUCUCCCCGUUCUGCAAAGGGCAACAUCAGAUAGAUUAAGCAGAGAAGGUACAUCAAGGGACCCUAGAAGGUCUGUGUAGUAGGGAUUGUGAUAGAACAGAGAUAGUGCAUGCACAGGUUAAGCCUUGGAAUGACAAAAAGUUUUUAUGUUUUACAAAAAUGUAUGAUUAUGUAUGGGAUUUCACAGGUACACAGACAGGAUAGCAGGCUUACUACGGGUCCCGGCGACCUUAAGUCGAUCUGGAUCCUAGUGCCGAUAGCAGUUCGGUUUUCGGGCUGUUACAGUCUGUUGAUGAGAGUAGAAGGGGAGUCGUUCAGAGUGGUAUGUCAGGGGAUAUGAGGGAAGUAGAGGAGGAUGAGCAGAGCAGAGAUGGUAGCUUGGGCAUGAGUAUGUUAGGAGCAGAUAUGGGUGAGUCCCAAGGAGGCACUCAGGCCUCGAGAUUUGUUCCACCUCAGUAUCCGCCCUACCCGUGGGGGUCAGGGUAUCCGAUGGGUGGUACAGCGGGUUUCCCUAGGUAUAACCCAUAUCCCACCUUUAUGCCUUAUCCUUCCUUUUAUCUGCCAUAUCCACCGCCAUAUCCACAGUAUACCAUGUUUCCACCCUUCUUUGGUUAUCCAAGUUCAGUAAACCCUAACCCAGGGAAUGUUGCACCUCCUCCACCACCAGUAGAAUCAGUAGCCCCAGUUGUCCAAACACCUAAGCCUAGUUCACCUGGAGGAAGUACGGUACAGAUGACAGACUAUUUGAGGUUGGAUGUUCCCAAAUUUGAGACAGGUGAUGACCCUUUUGAGUAUCUCAGAACGGUCAAAAUGAUAAUUGAUGAGUUGGGAGCCAGUGAGAGUAGAGCCAUUCAGAUGGUAGGGGUCACAUUGAAAUGUAAGAAGGCAAGGGAAUGGUUCAACCAGUAUGUGGACCCGAGGGUAGAAAGCUUAUCCUGGCAGCAGUUUGCUACAGAGUUUGCCGGAUGGGCUUUUCCAGAUAGCUCAAGGGAGCGUAAGGAGAGUGAAUUUGAGCAGCUAGGGCAGACAGAAAACAUGAAUGUAGAAAAUUACCCAGAGAAUAGUGAUCAUUUCCCUUUGGGUGAGGUUGCUGCAAAGAAUAAAAAGAAAGUUAGAGCCCUGAAAGGGUCAAAGAAAAGAGAAAUUUGGACUAGGUUAAAGUCUAGUAUGGGUUUUAGCGAUGGCUCGAGUUCUGGUUGGAAUAGUUCUAGAUGUACGAGGUGCGGUAGGAGGCACAAGGGAGUCUGUCUAGUAGGGACAACAGCAUGUUUCAGGUGCGGACAGGAGGGACACAUAGCACGUGAGUGUUCCACCGCGACUUUGAUGACACAGUCCCAGCAGACAACCUCAGACAAAGUGGCUCAGCCAGGAGCUCUAGCCAUGGCGCUGGGCAGAGGCAGAGGGAGCGAGAUCACUCCUUCUUCCACAGGUUCCCCAGGUGAAGGUCCAUCAGUACCAGCACGGAUCUUCGCUUUGACGCAGCCGGAGGCUCACACAUCGGACAUAGCGGUGACAGGUACUUUUCACUUCCAUAUGUUUUGAUGUGUCUGCUAUUAGAGGCUCUGAUGUUUCGCUUUCCUUAGUGCUUUGAAAGCCAUAGAGAGUAGGGAUUAGAAUGUCCUCUUUGGGUCAAUAGACCCAAGUGUGAUCCAUCAGCGGCAGAGUCAGUCUGCCAGUUGAGUUUAGUGCGAGUUAUGAGUAGAUGCCUUCCAACUGACCUAGUGGUUCUAGAGUGAUUGUUUGAUGUCAUUCUAGGGGUGGAUGGGCUAGCUACUCAUAGUACUGCCUUAGAUAGCAGAGACAGAGUAGUCAGGCUUAGAGAUCAGGGUGGAUCACAGGUAGUUUGUUGAGGGGACAGUGUAGAGAUGCCUGGAGUUUGAUAUCAGCCCUAUAGGCUCUUAAGCUGUUUAGGAGAGGUUAUCAGAGGUUUCUUGCUUGUGUCAGAGAGCAUAGCAGUUAGUCAGAUCAUGAGGGGAACCAGUUUUAGUUCCCGCAGCCAGAGAAAAGUUUUAGAUAUUGUCCCAACAAGCCGUCAGGUUUACCACCUGCUAAGAGAAUAGCAUGGGAUAUAGGAAUGGUGUCUAGACCCAGAACCAUUCCUAAUCUUCUCUGCAGGAUGGCACCAGUAGAGUGAGAGAGAUAGUAAAAGCCAAACGAGUAGUAGCUAGAGGUUAGUAAGCCAGGAAAGAGCUCGAGAGUGUUGCUAUGAGAUGCUAUGACCUUGGAUUUUAUCCAGGUAUAGGGAGAGUGAUCUCUCAUCUCCGAGUGUAGCCCUCAAGUAUAAUAAAUAAUUCAGAGAACAGAGUAAGAAAUAGAAGAGUAAGAAAAGAAUAAAAGUAAGUAAGAGAAAAGUAAGUGAAAUAGAUCAGAAUGAGAAAAAGAGAAGAAUAAGUAAACUAGAGUAGAACAGAGGAAGAAAAGAGUAAGAAUAAGUGUAAGUUCAGGAGGAGACUUCAGUUUGGUCUGGGAUUUGGUGGUGGUUGAGGCAGAGAAAAGGGUUAGCCUUUUCUUUAGAUUCCCGAGGGAAGUUCCGUUAGCUUUAGCUCGGAUCUUCACCCUGACUCAGUAGGAGGCUAUCACAUCGAACACAGUGACGUCAGGUACGUUCACUUGUGGAUGUUCGGACGUGUAUGCUGUUUGUUUUGAACCUGAGUGUUUCUAUUUCCUUGUUGCUUAGUGAGCUGUUGAUAGAGUGGGUUUGAUAACUUCUGGGCUUAGAGUGUUUUCUCUAGGUCAGUGGACAUGAGUAUGAUCCAUCUGAGGCAGAGUUAGUCAGUCAGUCAGUUCAGAGUUUGUGGUGAGUAGAUGCUAUCCAGCUGACCUUAUGGUUCUAGAGUUGGCUAUCUGAUGUCAUUCUAGGGCGAAAUAGCUAAUUACUCAUUGUACUACCUGUGUCUGCAGAGACAAGGUAGGAGAGUUCAGAGUGCUGGAUGGAUCAGAGGUAGUCCUUGGAGGGGACAGAGUAUAGGUGCCUAGAGGUUUGAUGUCAGCCCAGCAGGCUCGUAGGUACACAGGAAAGGAUGUCAGAGGAUUCUAGCUCUUGUGAGCGAGUUUUGUAGUCAGAUCGGGGAAUUAGCCUCAAUGCCCGUAGUUAGUGAGUUCUAGAUGUUUUUCCCAUACGAACUGUCAGGUUUACCAUCUGUCAGGGAGUCAGAGAUUGGAAUAGAAGUGGUGUCUGGACGCGGAACCAUUUCUUUCCUUCUACCCUACAAGAUGGCACCUGUAGAGAGAGCAUAGUCAGAGUAGUAUAGAGAAGCUUGGUAGAUAAAGGUUGUCUCCGACCUAGUACCUCACCCUGGAAUGUUCCAGUGUCAGUGUGAGAAACGAAGGAUGAAACCUUGAGAUUUUGUAAUGACUGUGAGCAGUUGAACAAAAUCACUACCAAGGACAGGUGUUCCCAUGUAGAAUGGAUGAUCUAUAGGAACAACUAGUAGAAGCUGGUUGUUUUCCAUAAUAGAUCUGAGAGUCAGGAACUAUGUGUCGAAAGUUAGAGAAAAGUCAGUUUAGCAGUUGAGUGGAGAUGAGAUCUUUAUCGAUCAAAGGAGUUUAUAGUGAAGAGUCUAAAACAGAGGUAAGGGGUAAAAAUGCUCAGCGACUCUGAGUAUACAAAACAAUAUCUACUGGAUGAGGCAGAUGAGAUGUUAACUGCCCUCAGUCAGAAGUCGCUUACUAGCUUAUCCUAUAGAAACAGGUAUUAUUUCAUAUUGAUGAUCGGUUGGAUUAGCUGGCAGGAGCCAGUUGUUUUCCAAGCUAGAUCUGAAAUCUGAGUGCUAGCUGUUGAGAGCUAGAAUAGUCCAGUAUAGUUAGAAGGGAUCAGAAGAGAAGAAGCCAGUAUAGUAAAGAAGAAGAAAGGCGGGCAAGGAUCAAAGUGCGUAGCGGAAGGUUACAGUGUUGUUUAUGGUGUCUCCAGUUUGUAGUGAACCGUUGAGGGGUGAAAGAUAAAAGGUUAAAUCCAUGGAAUCCUGUAGAGGAUUAAAGAGAUAGGAUUAAUCUACUUCUAAGAGGAGAACCAUUUGGUUUCCUUAUUUCUUUUGUUCUGGAGUGGUGUUGGAUCCGAUAGAGGUUCUGUAUGAACCAGAGGUGGAGAUCUCAGGAAAUCUCACCUGUAUAGCAUAGUUAGAACGGAUCAUACACACUCAGCUCGCAGAAUAGAAGAAUAGGAAGAUUUGAGAAGAGAAGUCUUUUAGAAUCACCCCAGGAGUGUCGUAUGGAUAGGAGACCCAGGAGUUCUUACUCCAGCGAUAUCUGUGUAUCUCUUUGGAGAGAAGAUUUCCACUUCGUUUGUUUAUUUGUAUGUUUGUUAACAUUCGGGACGAAUGUUCUUAAAGCGGGGAAGAAUGUAAUACCCGGCUAGCUUAGGCAUCAGAAUUCCUACCGUCCGGGGGAAUUCGAGGAUGUCAGAGGUAUCUAGAAGUGUAAGAGAAAGGUUUUCUUAAAUGUUUUAAGUGUUUGACGGUUUUAAAGAGAGAAAGGAUUGAGUUUUGAAGAGAAAAGGCCAAGGAGGCAUUUUGCCAUGUUCGGCCGCCGAAGGUAAAGUUCGGCCACCGAAAAUGCCCAAGAUUCGGCCCCCGAAAGUCUGAGUUCGGCCGCCGAACGUUGCAUGGUUUUGCAUGCGAUUCGGCUGCCGAAGCUGAGGCGGUUGUUCAUCUAUAAAGGGCACCGAGUCCAGAAAAAAGGAAGAGGAUUCUUCUCUCUUUCUGGCCUAGGUGAGUUCUUGAUCUCCUUGGAUUGUUUUCAUGUUUUUUCAUCAAAUCUUUCAAAGUUAAACAAGUUUUAAGUAAGUUUUAUGUGUUUUUGAAGAGUUUGAAAGCUUAGAGGAGUUUGGAGCUUGGAUCUCCAUAUCUUCGAGUUUGGAUCACACCAGCCUUUGUUCUUCAAGAGGUAAGUGGAGAUCCUUGGUUUUUAUACUGUUUUCUAUGAGUUUUAUGAAGGGAAGGGGAGUUAAUGCUUGAGUUUGCAUGAGUUGUGCAUAUUAGGGUUUAUGGACCCUUUAUGCUUUAUGUUUGCUUGCUGAGCUUGUUUGUUGGAGUUAAAGUUGUCUUAAGCUCCUAUAUGCUUGUUGUUUUGAGAUAUGGAUGAGUUAGAGAGGUUGGAUGCAUGUUGGGAAGGAUUGGAAGGUGUGGGAGGCGUGUUUAUGCACGAAGCUGAGUUCUGGAUGAACUCAGGUUCGGCAGCCGAAGGAGGAUUCGGCCGCCGAACAUGCCCGACUUUCAUCUCUGGAGGAGACAUUCGGCCGCCGAAGGUGCUGCCGAAGGUGUCCUGUCCAACCUUCCUUUGCUUGUUUUGCAUGCAUGUUUUGAGGUGUUCUAGAGGGAUUUUGGGGAGUUGUUUAUCAGGUGCAUAGAGUAUGUUUGGUGCCUCAUUUGCGUCCUCCAUUGUAGGAUUGGACCCGAGGAACCGAGGUGUUUAGCAGUAGUAGCUGCUUCAGAGUUAGAGGUAGCCCAGAGUUAGCCAAGCAGUGGCUACAGGUGAGUGGAACUAAACUUCAUAUUUUACUUGAGAAAUGACACGUUUCUAGCAUGAUCCAUGCAUCAUAAAAUGCCAUGUUAUGUAUUAGGUUGUGUUGCAUUAGAAUUCACGAAUAUGAUGCAUUGCAUAAGAUGUUGUUACUGUGGAUGAAUGUUGGAUGAUCCUUAGCCCUUGAUAGAGAUAUGAUACUAUGAGAUGAGUUAUGGCAUGAGAUAGCCAUACCAGGUCACUCCUGGAUAGUCCAGGUCGCUCCUGGUACUAUGAGUUAGACAGAUAGCCUGUCAGAGCAGAGAUAAGAGAAGUCCAGGUGAUGACCUAGUCUCUUUGGCACAGUGGGACAUGUUAUGAUAUGAGACAGAUAAGAGAAGUCCAGGUGAUGACCUAGUCUCCUUGGCACAGCAGGACAUAUUAUGACAUGUAGUAGAGGGCUAUUGGUGACAAGUUCAUCCGUGAGAUGAUAUGUUUGUGAUGUGAUGCAUUUCAUGAAAACAUGUAAUGAAU